CCUACGGGUGGCAGCAGUGGGGAAUAUUGCACAAUGGGGGAAACCCUGAUGCAGCAACGCCGCGUGAAGGAAGACGGUUUUCGGAUUGUAAACUUCUGUUCUUAGUGAAGAAUAAUGACGGUCGCUAAGGAGCAAGCCACGGCUAACUCCGUGCCAGCAGACGCGGUAAUACGUAGGUUGCAAGCGUUGUCCGGAUUUACUGGGUGUAAAGGGAGCGCAGGCGGGAAGCCAAGUCAGCUGUGAAAACUACGGGCUUAACUUGUAGACUGCAGUUGAAACUGGUUUUCUUGAGUGAAGUAGAGGAUGUUGGAAUUCCGGGUGUAGCGGUUAAAUGCGUAGAUAUUCGGAGGAACACCGGUGGCGAAGGCGGCCAACUGGGCUUUAACUGACGCUGAGGCUCGAAAGUGUGGGAAGCAAACAGGAUUAGAUACCCUGGUAGUC
RNAcentral lists this ribosomal RNA (441 nucleotides) under uncultured bacterium. Its description in RNAcentral is "partial 16S ribosomal RNA". It matches the Rfam family "Bacterial small subunit ribosomal RNA", at positions 338 to 795 of the family's 1533-position model. The record is from RNAcentral.